UUGAAAGCCAUUGAUCAAAACCUGAAGAUCCAAUGACAUGAGAGCUCGGCCUUCAUCAGUACACUUCUUCACCCGUGAGAGACCUUCAAUGAGAGUUUCAGCCACAAUUUCGAGACCAUGUUCUAGAAGGAGGUCCUGAACCUCCUUGUGGAUUCCUCCAUGAGCAAGCCUCGUUUUAUAGUGCUUAAAUUCUCCCAACAACAAAUCAACGUACCCAUUAUGCUCUAGUCCAAGCUCUUUUACUUCCCAUUUAGCAUUAGCAAUUCGGUCAACAUAACCAUUAAUAUGUAAAAGUAGUCUUGCAGUUGUCCUAUGUAUAUGCUCUGUAAGAUCUGGUACAGAAUCCACCAAGGUUGCAUAGAAAUCCUCCACGAUAGCAGGAUUAUUUUGAAGAAGCAUUGACUGAAGAUGGGUUUUGGAUCUGUGUAAUAUACGAGCAACGAGAGAGAUAUUAUCGGCCGCUGCACAUCUUUCCUUGAGACCAAAAGAUGUGGCUGGUGAAUGAUUCUGAGGAUUAGUUGGUGUUAAAUCUGCAUGCAUAUAUGUACUUAAAGAUGUGGGUGAAGAAGUAGAUAUUGUUGACUGGGAUUUUAUCCAUUGGUCACAAUCCUGUGAUACUCUGGAUAAGGCUAUCUUCAGUCGAUAAUUGACAGAAUCAGAUAAACCUUUUCCAUUUGAGUUGGAAUUUUGCUGACCAAAUGUUUCAAAUAUAAAGUAGAAAAAAACCUCAAACAACUGGCAUAUCCCCUUAAAAAACUCAACAUUCACUAUUUCUAGUUUCUGCAUGAGCCUUGCAUAUUUAUCCAUUGACCUUAGAAGACAUAUAGAUGAUCCC
Molecule: unclassified non-coding RNA, 835 nt
Filed under: Hevea brasiliensis (rubber tree)
Lineage: Eukaryota; Viridiplantae; Streptophyta; Magnoliopsida; Malpighiales; Euphorbiaceae
Source: RNAcentral